RNAcentral lists this ribosomal RNA (253 nucleotides) under uncultured bacterium. Its description in RNAcentral is "partial 16S ribosomal RNA". It matches the Rfam family "Bacterial small subunit ribosomal RNA", at positions 524 to 776 of the family's 1533-position model. The record is from RNAcentral.
UACGUAGGGGGCAAGCGUUGUCCGGAUUUAUUGGGCGUAAAGAGCGUGUAGGCGGUCAGGUAAGUCCGUUGUGAAAACUCGAGGCUCAACCUCGAGACGCCGAUGGAAACCAUCUGACUAGAGUCCGGAAGAGGAGAGUGGAAUUCCUGGUGUAGCGGUGAAAUGCGCAGAUAUCAGGAAGAACACCCGUGGCUAAGGCGGCUCUCUAGUACGGUACUGACGCUGAGACGCGAAAGCGUGGGGAGCGAACAGG